RNAcentral lists this unclassified non-coding RNA (153 nucleotides) under uncultured Ascomycota. RNAcentral describes it as "sequence contains ITS1". The record is from RNAcentral. Lineage: Eukaryota; Fungi; Ascomycota.
CCGAGAGAGGGCGCCUCGCGCGCCCGACCUCCCAACCCUUUGUCGACCGACCGCGUUGCCUCGGGGAGUGGCCCGGACCUCGUGCCGGCCGCCCCGGAGGACCCAACCCAAACUCUUGCGUCUUUGCGUCGGAGUGAUAUCGUAAAUGAAUCA